Molecule: ribosomal RNA, 468 nt
Filed under: uncultured bacterium
Lineage: Bacteria
Description: partial 16S ribosomal RNA
Rfam family: Bacterial small subunit ribosomal RNA
Source: RNAcentral
GACGAACGCUGGCGGCGUGCUUAACACAUGCAAGUCGAACGGAAAGGCCCUGCUUUUGUGGGGUGCUCGAGUGGCGAACGGGUGAGUAACACGUGAGUAACCUGCCCUUGACUUUGGGAUAACUUCGGGAAACUGGGGCUAAUACCGGAUAGGAGCUCCUGCUGCAUGGUGGGGGUUGGAAAGUUUCGGCGGUUGGGGAUGGACUCGCGGCUUAUCAGCUUGUUGGUGGGGUAGUGGCUUACCAAGGCUUUGACGGGUAGCCGGCCUGAGAGGGUGACCGGCCACAUUGGGACUGAGAUACGGCCCAGACUCCUACGGGAGGCAGCAGUGGGGAAUAUUGCACAAUGGGCGGAAGCCUGAUGCAGCAACGCCGCGUGCGGGAUGACGACCUUCGGGUUGUAAACCGCUUUCGCCUGUGACGAAGCGUGAGUGACGGUAAUGGGUAAAGAAGCACCGGCUAACUACGUG